Molecule: ribosomal RNA, 497 nt
Filed under: uncultured bacterium
Lineage: Bacteria
Description: partial 16S ribosomal RNA
Rfam family: Bacterial small subunit ribosomal RNA
Source: RNAcentral
GAUGAACGCUGGCGGCGUGCCUAAUACAUGCAGGUCGAGCGAACAGACGAGGAGCUUGCUCCUCUGACGUUAGCGGCGGACGGGUGAGUAACACGUGGAUAACCUACUUAUAAGACUGGGAUAACUUCGGGAAACCGGAGCUAAUACCGGAUAAUAUAUUGAACCGCAUGGUUCAUUAGUGAAAGACGGUUUUGCUGUCACUUAUAGAUGGAUCCGCGCCGCAUUAGCUAGUUGGUAAGGUAACGGCUUACCAAGGCAACGAUGCGUAGCCGACCUGAGAGGGUGAUCGGCCACACUGGAACUGAGACACGGUCCAGACUCCUACGGGAGGCAGCAGUAGGGAAUCUUCCGCAAUGGGCGAAAGCCUGACGGAGCAACGCCGCGUGAGUGAUGAAGGUCUUCGGAUCGUAAAACUCUGUUAUUAGGGAAGAACAAAUGUGUAAGUAACUAUGCACGUCUUGACGGUAUCUAAUCAGAAAGCCACGGCUAACUACGUG